RNAcentral lists this long non-coding RNA (1566 nucleotides) under Apteryx rowi (Okarito brown kiwi). RNAcentral's name for it is "lncRNA (ENSARWG00000002318.1)". The record is from RNAcentral. Lineage: Eukaryota; Metazoa; Chordata; Aves; Apterygiformes; Apterygidae.
CCCAUUGCUGGCACAUAGACCUCCAUACACACACAUGCACGAAGAAUAGAAGGUCUCCUCAGGCAGGAAAACAGUCAGAAAUGGAGUUUAAUGAGAAGACGGGAGUGGGGCCAGGGUGCUCCUUUCUCCUGGGAGGUGAUUCGCUUACCCCUGCUGCCACUGUCCCCCUCUGCUCCUUUGGGCACGUGGAGAGGAUAGCCUUUUAUCACAGAACCAACAAACAGUAGUCACUGGGACUUCUUCUGGAGACCUUUGCCCACGCCUGGCUGCCAAGGGCUCUAACGUUCUGGCUGCCGUGUCUGUGGGUGUCACGGUUUCGACAGCGACAGGUUCUUCAAGGGCAGCAGCUGGUGCUGGCACGGACACUUUUGGUGCCUCCGAGCUUUCAGCUCCAGGGAAGGCUGAGCCAGGGCCUUCCUCUGGCACAGGUAAAACCCCUUGCUGCACAGCAGGUGAGUGACGUUCAUCACCGCUCACAGCUUCCAGUGUGCCAGAGUCACCUACGCCUUGGGCUCUUUCCACCAGUCGCUCCCCUUUGGUUUCUUCCCUCAGCACGCCCUCACAGUUUGAGGUUUCUACAAGUUCUUGUGCUGCUUCCACCGGCUCUUCUGCAGCUACGCUGCUUUGUGUUUCGCAUUUCUUUGGGCUGCUGCCAGGGAGGACGCUGCUCCCAUUGUCCGUGGUAUCCAUGCCGGUGGAUGCUAAGGCAGAUAGGUUUUCUCCUUCAAGCUGCGUGGGGGCUGCAGUGACAGGGCCUGGGGAGUCCAUGCUGAGGAUGGCGUCGUCCAUUUUGUUCUCCUCAGUGUUUUCACUCUGGGAGAGGGCUGCAGUUUUGAGUAUGGCAUCUUGUAGUGGGCCGCCUUCCGUCUCAUCACUCUGGGAGAGGGCUGCAGUUUUGAGUAUGGCAUCUUGUAGUGGGCCGCCUUCCGUCUCAUCACUCUGGGAGAGCACUUCUCUGGUGGUUCUUUCUUGGCAUUUGGGCUCCAAGAUGGGCCCAGAGGCUUCUGCAGGGAUCUGCACACAAGCCCCCUCGCUCACACUCUGCCCAGACGCUGCAGCUGCUUCUGAGCCAGUUGCUUCUGGAGUGAAGGCAGAGACUUGUAUCCCCUUCUGCACGGGGAGCUCGGCAGCGGGGACUUUGGUGCUUUUUAGGGCAGGGAGCCCAGACUCGCCUUCCUCUCCCUGGGGAGGUGCCUCGCCAGGAACUCCRUCAGCCCAAGCCUGGCCUGCUGAGUCCAAGGCAGGAGUUGCUGCUUCUCCCUCUGGCGUGCCAGGGACCGCAACGACAACUGCUUCUGUGUGCUCCGGUCCCUCGGAGGGGGUGUCAUGCUCACCUUCAAGCUGCACAGGCACUUCAGUUGCAGUGCCUGCAGUGCCUGCAGGCCCCAAGGCAGAGGUGUCGCCUGCAUCCAUGUUUUGCACCUGAGGAGAAUGGGAACAGAAAUGUGAAGAAAGGUAUGAGCGGAGAGUGAUUGGGAAUAUUCUGCAUGCAAAAGCACCAGAAGAAAUGACCUGGAAGGUGAGGGUUAUAAGAAUGGCAUGUGUUGGUGACACUGAGAUUAGCAG